AAAGUCGUAACAAGGUUUCCGUAGGUGAACCUGCGGAAGGAUCAUUAAAGAGUUAGGGUCUUCUCGGCCCGACCUCCCAACCCUAUGUUUAUUGAACCUCUGUUGCUUCGGCGGAUCCGCCUCACGGCCGCCGGAGGAUCGCUGCAAGGCGUCCUCUGGCCCGCGUCCGCCGAUAGCCGACCAUUUAAAAAACGCUGAAUGAAUCGUGUCCUAUGUCUAAGUCUAUGAUUAAAUUAAAGCAAAACUUUCAACAACGGAUCUCUUGGUUCUG
RNAcentral lists this unclassified non-coding RNA (271 nucleotides) under Ascomycota sp. RNAcentral describes it as "partial contains small subunit ribosomal RNA, internal transcribed spacer 1, and 5.8S ribosomal RNA". The stretch from base 1 to 47 matches the Rfam family "Eukaryotic small subunit ribosomal RNA", at positions 1785 to 1831 of the family's 1831-position model. Lineage: Eukaryota; Fungi; Ascomycota. The record is from RNAcentral.